Molecule: ribosomal RNA, 774 nt
Filed under: uncultured Neocallimastigales
Lineage: Eukaryota; Fungi; Neocallimastigomycota; Neocallimastigomycetes; Neocallimastigales
Description: partial large subunit ribosomal RNA
Rfam family: Eukaryotic large subunit ribosomal RNA
Source: RNAcentral
AGAGAGAGACAUGCGCGCAUAUCAAUAAGCGGAGGAAAAGAAACUAACAAGGAUUCCCCUAGUAACGGCGAGUGAAGCGGGAAGAGCUCAAAUUUGAAAUCUUAAAGGGUUUCCCUUUACGAAUUGUAGUUUAAAGAAGUGUUUUCUGUUGAGGUUUUGGUAAAAGUUCUUUGGAAUAGGACAUCAUAGAGGGUGAGAAUCCCGUAUUUGACCUUUACUUUCAACUUUGUGAUACACUUUCAAAGAGUCGGAUUGUUUGGGAAUGCAGUCCAAAAUGGGUGGUAAAUUUCAUCUAAAGCUAAAUAUUGGCGAGAGACCGAUAGCGAACAAGUACCGUGAGGGAAAGAUGAAAAGAACUUUGAAAAGAGAGUUAAACAGUACGUGAAAUUGUCAAAAGGGAAGCGUUUGACACCAGUGUUGUUUUUCUGAAAAUCAAUUAAAGAACUGUUUAUGCUAAGUUGUUUAGACUUUAUCAGCUAACUGUUUAGUUUUGAGCUUUUCUUUAAUGCACUUUUCAGUUAACAAGUCAACAUCAAUUUCUUUUGCUGUAAAAAAGCUUGAGGAAGGUGGCUUGAGAUUCGUCUUAAGUGUUUAUAGCCUCUUGCCUAUGCAGUCGGAGAGAUUGAGGUCUGCAGCGUAGAUCCUUCGGGGCUAAAUGCAUUUGUGCUAAGUUAUAGCAUUUUAUAGACAACUUGUUGACUAUGAUUAGUCUUGUAGCUUACUCGCUUAUGCUAUUUUACCUACGCUUAGGAUGUUGAGCGCAUGUCUCUCUCU